GCGAGGGCCAAUUAUGAAUUAGGGUCAAAAUUAGACCCAAAGGCACAAAACCGAGUCUAGAUGACGGCUCUUGGAUUCUUUUGCAAAUCAAAGAAUGGAAUUUGAUAGCAAACUAAAUAAGAUUUUUAUGAGCAUUAAUUUUGGAUGAUUUGGAUUUAUAAUGACUUUGUAAGAGCUUUAUAAAGUCAAGUUUGUUUUUAGAUGACUUGAGUUUUGUGAAAUAAAAUAAGGUUGACGUUUCUAGUGAUUUCAAGAGUUUUGUAAUAGAUCCAUAGGUGAAAUUUUGUGGAUUAAUGGUCAUAGUUGUGCUUAAUAUGUGUUGUGAAUCUUAGCUCGAUCUUAUAGUUGAAUUGAGGGUUAUUGAAGUUUAAGUGGGUCAAGAUCUCAAAAAAUAGAAUUUUAGGUCUAGUGAGGGUUGUUAAGAUUUCUUGCAAUCUACUACUUGGAUUGAAGUGAAAUUUAUGUGAGAGAAUAUUAGACUUUUUUUCCUAUGAAUAUAAGAAUUUUGAGAUCAAUCAAAUAGUAAAAAAGAGAGAUAUUAGCUCUGGGAGAUUGGCAUCAAGGUCAGAGAAGGAGGCUGGCCAAUAUCCAAGCAUGUUUUGUAGGCUAUUGUCUAUUUGGUAAUUUCAAUCAUUUUCAAAAAAAAAAAUUACUUAUUUUCAACUUAUUUAUUAAAAAGCAUGAAAAUUUUGAAUUAAGAUCAACAGUUCAUUUAUUAGUAACUGAGGCUUAAAUUUAUUGUAGGAAUUACUAGGAUUUGAUUUAGGAUUUAGGAUUUAGUUUAGGAUUUGGUUAGGAUUUGAUUUAGGAUUUAGGAUUUUAUUAGGGUUUAUUUAGGAUUUAAGAUUUAGCUAGUUUUUGGCCUAAAAUUUGAAUGAAGUCCAAUAGGAUUUUAACUAAGAUUAAAUUAAGAUUGAAUUGAGAUGUAUUUGAGAUAUAUUUGUCAUCAUUUUAAUAUUUCUUUAAG
Molecule: long non-coding RNA, 967 nt
Filed under: Physcomitrium patens
Lineage: Eukaryota; Viridiplantae; Streptophyta; Bryopsida; Funariales; Funariaceae
Description: long non-coding RNA (PPAT_LNC013007)
Source: RNAcentral